RNAcentral lists this ribosomal RNA (460 nucleotides) under uncultured bacterium. RNAcentral's name for it is "partial 16S ribosomal RNA". It matches the Rfam family "Bacterial small subunit ribosomal RNA", at positions 338 to 795 of the family's 1533-position model. The record is from RNAcentral.
CCUACGGGUGGCAGCAGUGAGGAAUAUUGGUCAAUGGACGAGAGUCUGAACCAGCCAAGUAGCGUGAAGGAUGACUGCCCUAUGGGUUGUAAACUUCUUUUAUAUGGGAAUAAAACGUUCCACGUGUGGGAUUUUGUAUGUACUUUAUGAAUAAGGAUCGGCUAACUCCGUGCCAGCAGCCGCGGUAAUACGGAGGAUCCGAGCGUUAUCCGGAUUUAUUGGGUUUAAGGGGAGCGUAGGUGGAUUGUUAAGUCAGUUGUGAAAGUUUGCGGCUCAACCGUAAAAUUGCAGUUGAAACUGGCAGUCUUGAGUACAGUAGAGGUGGGCGGAAUUCGUGGUGUAGCGGUGAAAUGCUUAGAUAUCACGAAGAACUCCGAUUGCGAAGGCAGUUCACUGAACUGCAACUGACACUGAGGCUCGAAAGUGUGGGUAUCAAACAGGAUUAGAUACCCCGGUAGUC